This 243-nucleotide ribosomal RNA is filed under the name uncultured bacterium. Its description in RNAcentral is "partial 16S ribosomal RNA". It matches the Rfam family "Bacterial small subunit ribosomal RNA", at positions 355 to 614 of the family's 1533-position model. The record is from RNAcentral.
UAGGGAAUAUUGGUUAAUGUGCGAAAGCGCGAACCAGCAACGCCGCGUGUGCGAUGAAGGCCUUCGGGUCGUAAAGCACUUUUUGCAGGGACGAGGAAGGACGGUACCUGCAGAAUAAGUCUCGUCUAACUACGUGCCAGCAGCCGCGGUAAAACGUAGGAGACGAGCGUUAUCCGGAUUUACUGGGGGUAAAGCGCGUGCAGGCGGGAUGGCAAGUUGGAUGUGAAAGCUCCCGGCUUAACU